UCCUGGGGUAAGCAUGUAGGGGGCGAGGUAGGUAAAUCCGCCUCGUAUAUAUCCUGAGAUGUGAUGCCGAGCCGAUUGUGGUGAAGUGGAUGAUCCUAUGCUGCCGAGAAAAGCCUCUAGUGAGUGUUGUGGCGGCCCGUACCCUAAACCGACUCAGGUGGUCAGGUAGAGAAUACCAAGGCGAUCGGGUGAACUGUGGUUAAGGAACUCGGCAAAUUGCCCCCGUAACUUCGGGAGAAGGGGGACCUCUGCUGGUGAUGGGCUUUACGUUCUGAGCUGGUGGGGGUCGCAGUGGCCAGGGGGAAGCGACUGUUUACUAAAAACACAGGUCCGUGCGAAGUCGUAAGACGAUGUAUACGGACUGACGCCUGCCCGGUGCCGGAACGUUAAGGGGACCGCUUAGCCAACGCGAGUUGGCGAAGGUGAGAACUUAAGCGCCGGUAAACGGCGGUGGUAACUAUAACCAUCCUAAGGUAGCGAAAUUCCUUGUCGGGUAAGUUCCGACCUGCACGAAUGGCGUAACGACUUCCCCGCUGUCUCAACCACAGACCCGGCGAAAUUGCACUACGAGUAAAGAUGCUCGUUUCGCGCAGCAGGACGGAAAGACCCCGGGACCUUCACUGCAGCUUGACAUUGGCGUUUGGAACGUCUUGUGUAGGAUAGGUGGGAGACUGGGAAGCUGUCACGCUAGUGAUGGUGGAGUCAUUGGUGAAAUACCACUCUGGUCGUUUUGAACGUCUAACUCUGGUCCGUGAUCCGGAUCGGGGACAGUGUCUGGUGGGUAGUUUAACUGGGGCGGUUGCCUCCUAAAGAGUAACGGAGGCGCCCAAAGGUUCCCUCAGCCUGGUUGGCAAUCAGGUGUGAGUGUAAGUGCACAAGGGAGCUUGACUGUAGACUGACAGGUCGAGCAGGAGCGAAAGCUGGGACUAGUGAUCCGGCAUCGGCGUGUGGAAGCGGUGUCGCUCAACGGCUAAAAGGUACCCCGGGGAUAACAGGCUGAUCUUCCCCAAGAGUCCAUAUCGACGGGACGGUUUGGCACCUCGAUGUCGGCUCGUCGCAUCCUGGGGCUGGAGUAGGUCCCAAGGGUCGGGCUGUUCGCCCAUUAAAGCGGUACGCGAUCUGGGUUUAGAACGUCGCGAGACAGUUCGGUCCCUAUCCGCUGCGCGCGCAGGAGACUUGAAGGGGGCUGUCCCUAGUACGAGAGGACCGGGACGGACGAACCUCUGGUGUGCCAGUUGUACCGCCAGGUGCACGGCUGGUUGGCUACGUUCGGAAGGGAUAACCGCUGAAAGCAUCUAAGCGGGAAGCUCGCCUUGAGAUGAGGUCUCCCACCCCGUGAGGGGGUAAGGCUCCCGGUAGAUCACCGGGUUGAUAGGCCGGAGGUGGAAGCACGGUAACGUGUGGAGCUGACCGGUACUAAUAGGCCGAGGACUUGACCAC
RNAcentral lists this ribosomal RNA (1440 nucleotides) under metagenome. Its description in RNAcentral is "bacterial LSU rRNA". It matches the Rfam family "Bacterial large subunit ribosomal RNA", at positions 1505 to 2925 of the family's 2925-position model. The record is from RNAcentral.